UACCCAGGUGAACACCUCAAGGCCAGUC
Molecule: non-coding RNA, 28 nt
Filed under: Mus musculus (house mouse)
Lineage: Eukaryota; Metazoa; Chordata; Mammalia; Rodentia; Muridae
Source: RNAcentral